Molecule: non-coding RNA, 112 nt
Organism: Capsicum annuum
Lineage: Eukaryota; Viridiplantae; Streptophyta; Magnoliopsida; Solanales; Solanaceae
Source: Rfam
ACCUCAUGAUUUUGGCAUUGGGCUAAAUUUUCAUUAAACCUCUCCCAAGCAUCAAAUAAUGGUUCUCCAUUUAUUUGUCGAAAAUUCACAAUUUCAUCCCUUUUUUGAAGCA